Molecule: ribosomal RNA, 116 nt
Filed under: Pteropus alecto (black flying fox)
Lineage: Eukaryota; Metazoa; Chordata; Mammalia; Chiroptera; Pteropodidae
Source: RNAcentral
GUGUAUGGCCAUGCUACCCUGGACAAGCCUGAUGUCUGAUCUUGGAAGCUAAGCAGGGUUGGGCCUGAUUAGUAUUUGGAUGGGAGACCACCUAGGAAGACCAGGUGCUGUAGCAU